UGUGUUAGUUAAACUCAACUACGACGUGCAUAUUAGCUGAAGUGCAGAACUUGUUUUGACCAGUUUCUAAAGCUUACUUCGUCAUUUCUUUUCAGAAAAUCGAUGUGUAUAAACUUCUUGAUGUUUGGUGAGGUACGAAGGCGGCAUCAGGCUUCAGUAACAGGUGCAUCUUUGCCGGCCCACUAAGACAUUGGAGAAUAUUAGGAAAGACAUUGGCGAUUCUCCAGUCUGGCUAUCCGUUGACGAAACCACUGAUUCUUGCAGUCGUUAUAUGGUGCACGUCAUAGUUGGAAAACUCUCUGCUGACGAGACUGGAUGAGGACACCUCAUACUGUGCAAAGAAGUGAAAUGAACAACACACGCCACGAUUGCACGCACAGUCUAAGUUUCGCCAAUAUUGAAUAGUUUAAAAUAAAUUACAGGCGUGCUGUGGAGAAGUGAAGAUCAGAAACGUGGGGAGAACAAGGUUUUGGCCAUUUUUACGGAUAGUGCCACAUAUAUGAUGAAGGUUGUAGAGUGUCUCUGGGUGUCAUUCUUCACCUCACGUGUCGCUGAAGAGGUCAGAGCCGCAUUGCCAGAGGUCAGCUGCCUUAUAUCUUCGGCAAUGAAGGUUUUCAUCACGCCACCAAGUAAAGUGAGAACUUUCAAGACUGCUCACUCUGCCACCUGAACCAGUCUUGACGAGGUCCUAAAGGGUUUUGAAGAUAGCGAAAAUUGAGCCAUACCAAAAUCCAAGGGCGCCUUGAAGAAUUCCAGCAUGUUACACAGCCUAUCUUUCACCCGAGUGCACUUGGGUGACCUUCCAGACCUAAGUGAGAAACUUGAGGCUCGUAACAUGGAAGUUACGAAGGCAGUGGCUCUCGACGGAGGACUCAGGACACAGAGCAAGAAUUGGCCAGGCCCGAUCGCUGAGAGAUUUAGAAGAAAAUUGGAUGCAGUUCUCCACAGAAACCCUGGUUGACCUACGAUUCGGAAGAAGGCUCAGUUUCUCGGAGCAUUUCUGUUCUUCCAGUAUCUAGAUGAUUUCACGUCGUCUAAUGUCGCUGCUCUUAAAUUUUUACCUGUAGUGUCAUGUGAUGUUGAACGAUCAUUUUCAAGAUUGAAAAUGUUAUUAUCCGGCCAUAGGAAAAAUUAUCAUUUAGAGAAUAUGAAUAAAUGGGAACCUAUGUUAUACUUCAUUUUAUUCAUUGAAUUAUAGCCAUUAUUGAAAAUA
Long non-coding RNA from Schistocerca piceifrons (Central American locust), 1213 nucleotides. RefSeq lists it as uncharacterized. The record is from RefSeq and is a predicted model, not a curated record. The transcript has 4 exons. NCBI's taxonomy places the organism in Eukaryota, Metazoa, Arthropoda, Insecta, Orthoptera, Acrididae.